Molecule: long non-coding RNA, 1160 nt
Organism: Mustela erminea (ermine)
Lineage: Eukaryota; Metazoa; Chordata; Mammalia; Carnivora; Mustelidae
Exons: 3
Source: RefSeq, a predicted model, not a curated record
CCCCGCUCCGAUUGGCUCGUCCCCUCGACCUCUCUCCUGAUUGGUGACUGGAGCAGUCAAAUUCCUCUCGGCGCCGGGGGCGCGCGGAGUCGGGGCGGGGGAGGCAGCGCGGGCGGAGGGGGUGGCUGAGGAGGGGACCCGGCCUGACGUGCGAGGCGUGGGAGCCGGGGCCGGAGGGGGGGCUCCAGGCCGGUCCCUUCCUUGCGCUUUCCCGCCGCGAGGCUGCGCUCCUGGGGACCCGGGGGUCGCGGCGUUUACGAAGUGGAUUGGCUCCCGGACUCGCGGGCUUCGAAGCCGCGGUGGAGACCGACGGGCAGGCCGAGGGGCCGGCAGCCGGCCGGGUGGGCCGCAGGGGGCGUCUGGGCCGCGGGAGCUGGGCUGGUCCAGGCUCGCGUCGGCCCGGCCGUCCGGACAGGGCGUGAGGCGACACCUCCGGUGGCCGCGGUCCAGGGGAGGCAGCCCCAGACGAACGUCGUCUCCCUCCCGAAUGUCACAUUUACGUGAAACUUUCCACGGUUGGCCACCACCCAGAUGCGAAGUGUUUUGGAAAAAAUGAGCAAAAGCCUUUCAGCUCUGCGGCUUAGCGGCUGGGGGGCGGCCGCGGGCGCGGGCGGGAGCGGAGGAAUGCCGGAGCUCGACGGCUUGCCUCUGAAACAAUUAUUUUUUAAUGUACGCUGCUGCCCCCCAAAUGUUUCUGGACAGCAGGGAUUCCCCGAACAUUAGUUUGCUGGAAAGCAAAAUUGUGGAUACUCUUCGAUUUUAAAAGCGGCUCAUCAUUUUAAGAUACGAGCCCCCGAGUGCGGGCCCCUCGAAUCGCUUCGGCUUCGUAUCCCCCCACCCGGUUAUCCUUUUGGACCUGUGGGGAAAGAGCCAAGGAUGGGGUAAACCCCGGGGUUUUCUCCGAGCCCACCUAUGCCCUGGCAGUGCGUAGACCCACGAAGAAUGGCAUGUCCCAAAGAGUGGAUGCCCCUUCACCUGGGUCCCAGAAGGAUGAAACGAAGUUGAAGAUGAUUGCGAUUGACAAAUAACGUGAAGAGAAAGAAAACUUCCUAUUACAUGUAGAGGAUUUAAAUUCCAGAUUGACCCUUCCUGACUCCUCUUCCAGACAACCUCCUCCAUCAAGGUAGUCCUGAAACUAACCUGGGUAAAAAUUAACUAGU